RNAcentral lists this small nuclear RNA (84 nucleotides) under Dipodomys ordii (Ord's kangaroo rat). RNAcentral describes it as "U4 spliceosomal RNA (ENSDORG00000029444.1)". It matches the Rfam family "U4 spliceosomal RNA", at positions 1 to 84 of the family's 138-position model. Rfam says of the family: U4 small nuclear RNA (U4 snRNA) is a component of the major U2-dependent spliceosome. The structure of U4 snRNA from yeast and human has been reported. The record is from RNAcentral. Lineage: Eukaryota; Metazoa; Chordata; Mammalia; Rodentia; Heteromyidae.
AGCUUUGCACAGUGGCAGUAUCAUAGCCAAUGAGGUUUAUCUGAGGCGCGAUUAUUGCUAAGUGAAAGAGAUAAUCUAUACUUU